UGCUUCACUCGCACAGCUUGAAGGCGUUAACUUUAGGCGAGUAGGGUCUCGACAUCCAAACGUUUAGUUUCGGUGGCUACGUGCUUCUGUGGUCAAAAACUAUUCCGAUGCGGCGACUGGACAUGGGGGAAGUUCUCCACCCAGUGUAAUUAUCAACAUCGGGUGGGUGAGGCCUGUGGGCUGAUUGUUCAAGAGCUGUGCGCACUCUGCAUCACAAUUGCGACUAAAUGCCGAAGGAGGGACUUUGGACUUCAACGUUUAGCACGGUGGUACAGCAAUGGCGGCAGGAUGAAAGCAUCUAUAGAAAAAUCUGAAGCCACGGUUAGGCAUCUAGAGGAAGCGAUUCUGAACUUGGAAAGGAUAAGGUCUUUGAAGCCAAACCACUACGACUACACAGACUACGAAAGGUCAUUCUUGUCAGUUAAUGGGGUUUGGUCUCAUUGUGCUAAGAAGCACUGAGCUUCCUUACACUUCUUAUCACAAGCUCGAUGUAUACUUUACCACCUUGAAGCCUCAGCACAACUUGGCGCUUUUCUCUUGCCCUGUUCCAUUGC
RNAcentral lists this small RNA (554 nucleotides) under Histoplasma capsulatum var. duboisii H88. RNAcentral's name for it is "Histoplasma capsulatum H88 hypothetical RNA". The record is from RNAcentral. Lineage: Eukaryota; Fungi; Ascomycota; Eurotiomycetes; Onygenales; Ajellomycetaceae.